This 253-nucleotide ribosomal RNA is filed under the name uncultured bacterium. RNAcentral describes it as "partial 16S ribosomal RNA". It matches the Rfam family "Bacterial small subunit ribosomal RNA", at positions 524 to 776 of the family's 1533-position model. The record is from RNAcentral.
UACGUAGGGUCCAAGCGUUAUCCGGAAUCACUGGGCGUAAAGCGUGCGUAGGCGGUUUGUUAAGUGAGAUGUUAAAGCGUGUGGCUCAACCAUAUCGUUGUGUCUCAUACUGGCAGACUAGAGGAAGGCAGAGGCAAGUGGAAUUAGCAGUGUAGCAGUGAAAUGCGUAGAGAUGUGGAGGAACACCGAUGGCGAAGGCAGCCCCCUGGGUCAACACUGACGCUCAUGCACGAAAGCGUGGGGAGCAAACAGG